Molecule: ribosomal RNA, 206 nt
Filed under: uncultured bacterium
Lineage: Bacteria
Description: partial 16S ribosomal RNA
Rfam family: Bacterial small subunit ribosomal RNA
Source: RNAcentral
UGCGUAGGUGGUUUCUUAAGUCAGGAGUGAAAGGCUACGGCUUAACCGUAGUAAGCUCUUGAAACUGGGAAACUUGAGUGCAGGAGAGGAAAGUGGAAUUCCUAGUGUAGCGGUGAAAUGCGUAGAUAUUAGGAGGAACACCAGUAGCGAAGGCGGCUUUCUGGACUGUAACUGACACUGAGGCACGAAAGCGUGGGUAGCGAACA